This 484-nucleotide ribosomal RNA is filed under the name uncultured bacterium. RNAcentral describes it as "partial 16S ribosomal RNA". It matches the Rfam family "Bacterial small subunit ribosomal RNA", at positions 28 to 523 of the family's 1533-position model. The record is from RNAcentral.
GACGAACGCUGGCGGCGUGCUUAACACAUGCAAGUCGAACGAUGAUGCUGGAGCUUGCUCCAGUUGAUUAGUGGCGAACGGGUGAGUAACACGUGAGCAAUCCGCCCUUGACUCUGGGAUAACUGCGGGAAACUGUAGCUAAUACCGGAUACUUUCACCGGGGGGCAUCCUCUGGUGAUGAAAGAAUUUCGGUCAAGGAUGAGCUCGCGGCCUAUCAGCUUGUUGGUGAGGUAACGGCUCACCAAGGCGACGACGGGUAACCGGCCUGAGAGGGUGACCGGUCACACUGGGACUGAGACACGGCCCAGACUCUUACGGGAGGCAGCAGUGGGGAAUAUUGCACAAUGGGCGCAAGCCUGAUGCAGCAACGCCGCGUGAGGGAUGAAGGCCUUCGGGUUGUAAACCUCUUUUAGCAGGGAAGAAGCGAAAGUGACGGUACCUGCGGAAAAAGCACCGGCUAACUACGUGCCAGCCGCCGCGGUAA